AGUGAACGCUGGCGGUAGGCCUAACACAUGCAAGUCGAACGGCAGCACAGUAAGAGCUUGCUCUUACGGGUGGCGAGUGGCGGACGGGUGAGGAAUACAUCGGAAUCUACUUUUUCGUGGGGGAUAACGUAGGGAAACUUACGCUAAUACCGCAUACGACCUACGGGUGAAAGUAGGGGAUCUUCGGACCUUGCGCGAUUGAAUGAGCCGAUGUCGGUUUAGCUAGUUGGCGGGGUAAAGGCCCACCAAGGCGACGAUCCGUAGCUGGUCUGAGAGGAUGAUCAGCCACACUGGAACUGAGACACGGUCCAGACUCCUACGGGAGGCAGCAGUGGGGAAUAUUGGACAAUGGGCGCAAGCCUGAUCCAGCCAUACCGCGUGGGUGAAGAAGGCCUUCGGGUUGUAAAGCCCUUUUGUUGGGAAAGAAAAGCAGCAGGUUAAUACCCCGCUGUUCUGACGGUACCCAAAGAAUAAGCACCGGCUAACUUCGUG
RNAcentral lists this ribosomal RNA (492 nucleotides) under uncultured bacterium. Its description in RNAcentral is "partial 16S ribosomal RNA". It matches the Rfam family "Bacterial small subunit ribosomal RNA", at positions 29 to 507 of the family's 1533-position model. The record is from RNAcentral.